CAUUCAUUCUAAUGCAACAACGUUUGUAACGUUUAUUUUGAUUGGAUAACGUCACUUUCUUACAUGUCAUCAAUUGACAAUUGAUGCUAUGGGGACGUACGCGCAAGCGCAGACGGCAUAUGACAGAUUUUAAAUACAUGUUUUAACGUUGUUUUCUGUCAGUUUCAUUAGAAUGGAGAUAACAAUAUUGCAUUUUAAGCUCCGACGGCAUCAAUUGGGGAUUUGAUGGUCGCAAAUACCCGUUUACUGUCUCCGCUAACGCGUCGCCAGUAAACUUAAUUUGCGACCAUCAAAUCCCCAAUUGAUGCCGUCGGAGCUUAAAAUACAAUACAGUUAUCUCCUAAGU
RNAcentral lists this long non-coding RNA (346 nucleotides) under Mytilus galloprovincialis (Mediterranean mussel). The record is from RNAcentral. Lineage: Eukaryota; Metazoa; Mollusca; Bivalvia; Mytilida; Mytilidae.